GUGUCUGUGGAUCCCACUCAGCGCUAGUCUAUUCUGUAGGCUGGCUGCUGGUUGAUUUGGCCUUGACAGCUUCUGGCUGUCUCUGCUUAAGUUCUACAACACGUACGGCAUAGAUCUAGAAAAGUCACGUCCUGUCGGAAGAAAGGCAUUGACAUUCUCAUCUAUCUCUGGUAGCUUGUCUAUUGAGUUAAACUGAGUUUGUUAGUAGCCGUUCCUCAAACACUCGAGUCUUUCUCUGUAUCUAGCUUGCAGCUCGUCUGCU
Molecule: unclassified non-coding RNA, 262 nt
Filed under: Pseudo-nitzschia arctica
Lineage: Eukaryota; Bacillariophyta; Bacillariophyceae; Bacillariales; Bacillariaceae
Description: internal described spacer 2
Source: RNAcentral